Molecule: ribosomal RNA, 799 nt
Filed under: uncultured Glomus
Lineage: Eukaryota; Fungi; Glomeromycota; Glomeromycetes; Glomerales; Glomeraceae
Description: SSU rRNA
Rfam family: Eukaryotic small subunit ribosomal RNA
Source: RNAcentral
AUCAACUUUCGAUGGUAGGAUAGAGGCCUACCAUGGUGGUAACGGGUAACGGGGUGUUAGGGCACGACACCGGAGAGGGAGCCUGAGAAACGGCUACCACAUCCAAGGAUGGCAGCAGGCGCGCAAAUUACCCAAUCCCGACACGGGGAGGUAGUGACAAUAAAUAACAAUACAGGGUUCUUUUGGAUCUUGUAAUUGGAAUGAGUACAAUUUAAAUCUCUUAACGAGGAACAAUUGGAGGGCAAGUCUGGUGCCAGCAGCCGCGGUAAUUCCAGCUCCAAUAGCGUAUAUUAAAGUUGUUGCAGUUAAAAAGCUCGUAGUUGAAUUUUGGGCCUGGCUGGGUGGUCUUGCCGAAAGGUAAGCACUGCUCUGGUCGGGUCUUUCCUUCUGGGGAACCAGCGUGCUCUUAAUUGAGUGCGUUGGGGAUCCAGGACUUUUACUUUGAAAAAAUUAGAGUGUUUAAAGCAGGCUUACGCUUGAAUACAUUAGCAUGGAAUAAUAGAAUAGGACUUUGGUUCUAUUUUGUUGGUUUCUAGGAUCGAUGUAAUGAUUAAUAGGGAUAGUUGGGGGCAUUAGUAUUCAAUUGUCAGAGGUGAAAUUCUUGGAUUUAUUGAAGACUAACUACUGCGAAAGCAUUUGCCAAGGAUGUUUUCAUUAAUCAAGAACGAAAGUUAGGGGAUCGAAGACGAUCAGAUACCGUCGUAGUCUUAACCAUAAACUAUGCCGACUAGGGAUCGGAUGAUGUUAAUUUUUUAAUGACUCAUUCGGCGCCUUACGGGAAACCAAAGUGUUUGGGUUC